GGCGGCAGGCCUAACACAUGCAAGUCGAACGGUAACAGGAAGAAGCUUGCUUCUUUGCUGACGAGUGGCGGACGGGUGAGUAAUGUCUGGGAAACUGCCUGAUGGAGGGGGAUAACUACUGGAAACGGUAGCUAAUACCGCAUAACGUCGCAAGACCAAAGAGGGGGACCUUCGGGCCUCUUGCCAUCGGAUGUGCCCAGAUGGGAUUAGCUAGUAGGUGGGGUAACGGCUCACCUAGGCGACGAUCCCUAGCUGGUCUGAGAGGAUGACCAGCCACACUGGAACUGAGACACGGUCCAGACUCCUACGGGAGGCAGCAGUGGGGAAUAUUGCACAAUGGGCGCAAGCCUGAUGCAGCCAUGCCGCGUGUAUGAAGAAGGCCUUCGGGUUGUAAAGUACUUUCAGCGGGGAGGAAGGGAGUAAAGUUAAUACCUUUGCUCAUUGACGUUACCCGCAGAAGAAGCACCGGCUAACUCCGUGCCAGCAGCCGCGGUAAUACGGAGGGUGCAAGCGUUAAUCGGAAUUACUGGGCGUAAAGCGCACGCAGGCGGUUUGUUAAGUCAGAUGUGAAAUCCCCUGGCUCAACCUGGGAACUGCAUCUGAUACUGGCAAGCUUGAGUCUCGUAAAGGGGGGUAGAAUUCCAGGUGUAGCGGUGAAAUGCGUAAAGAUCUGGAGGAAUACCGGUGGCGAAGGCGGCCCCCUGGACGAAGACUGACGCUCAGGUGCGAAAGCGUGGGGAGCAA
RNAcentral lists this ribosomal RNA (744 nucleotides) under uncultured Escherichia sp. RNAcentral describes it as "bacterial SSU rRNA". It matches the Rfam family "Bacterial small subunit ribosomal RNA", at positions 38 to 771 of the family's 1533-position model. Lineage: Bacteria; Pseudomonadati; Pseudomonadota; Gammaproteobacteria; Enterobacterales; Enterobacteriaceae. The record is from RNAcentral.